GGGUGCGAUCAUACCAGCGUUAAAGCACCGGAUCCCAUCAGGACUCCGCAGUUAAGCGCGCUUGGGCUAGAGUAGUACUGGGAUGGGUGACCUCCCGGGAAGUCCUAGUGUUGCACCCUC
RNAcentral lists this ribosomal RNA (120 nucleotides) under Cedrus deodara (deodar cedar). Lineage: Eukaryota; Viridiplantae; Streptophyta; Pinopsida; Pinales; Pinaceae. The record is from RNAcentral.